RNAcentral lists this ribosomal RNA (309 nucleotides) under Triticum aestivum (bread wheat). Its description in RNAcentral is "partial small subunit ribosomal RNA". The record is from RNAcentral. Lineage: Eukaryota; Viridiplantae; Streptophyta; Magnoliopsida; Poales; Poaceae.
AUGCCGCCGGAGAAGGCGCGGCUCGUCGACAUCAUGUCACUGCUGCUCCUGCGCAGGCGGGUCACCAGCUGCAACACCUUGGUCGACUCCGGGGACCAGGACAGAGUCCUAGAUAACACGCCAGGCGACCUGCUCGUCGCACUCACCCAGCUGAUCCAGAAGGCCCUCGCCGCUGCCUACUACCCAGCCAAGUGGUUCGGCGCCGUCGUCGAGUUUCUCCUCAACUUCUUCGCGGUCAACGGCGGCUUAUUUGGGAUCAUAGGGAGCACCAUGAGAUAAUUAUUCGUCACUGUCCAUAUCAAAUCUUGA